Molecule: long non-coding RNA, 721 nt
Filed under: Gossypium raimondii (Peruvian cotton)
Lineage: Eukaryota; Viridiplantae; Streptophyta; Magnoliopsida; Malvales; Malvaceae
Description: long non-coding RNA (GRAI_LNC003157)
Source: RNAcentral
UUUGUUUCCUCUUUCUCUGAAGCAGCAAAUGAAAUGGCUUCUUUAGGGUUUCACCAACCCAUGAGUGCCGCCGCUCAGCCUUGUGCCAAAGCUUCGGUUACGACGGAGAUGGCAACAACUCUGUGGUUCCGGCAAAAAAAAAGGUAAGUUUCCCUUUCUCUUCCUCUUAUUAUUUUAAGCAAAAUAUGAAAAUAAAAGAAAAAAUAAAAAAUAUAGAUAGAGAGUAAAGAAUGAUGAACGUCAAUAAUGUAGAACGAAAAUAAAAAGAAACCUUUGUAUUCAAAAAGAUUUUCGUAUUGAUUCUUUUAUCUGUAUUCCACUUUUUCUAUGUAUUUUCCGUCGUCCCUUUUACAAUAUUGAGAUGGCCUUUUUAUAGCCAUCGUGAAACAAGAAAAAAUAAAAAGAAAUCUUUUUCCAGCAUAUUCGUGAUUCUUGAUUUUCUUGCCAUAUUUGCUGCCUAUAUUGCCUUGUUUCCUUUCUUUGGUGCAGGUGAAGAUGUGCGCGGCGGCUGGCUGCGGCACUGCUAAUCUUUAGAAACCCUAGGGUUUUUGACUGUAAUUUGGGGUUUGGUUCUGGGCCUCCGUUUGGUUUGGGGUUUGGGCCAUAUAGGCUUGUUUGUAAAACCAGGACAUUUAUUUUUGGGUUUUAUUAGUAAUAGUGCUGGGAAAAAUUUGUGUAUUACACUAUAUGUAACUUAUAAUAUUAAUUAAAUAUAUCUACG